CCUACGGGUGGCAGCAGUGGGGAAUAUUGGACAAUGGGGGCAACCCUGAUCCAGCGACGCCGCGUGAGUGAAGAAGUAUUUCGGUACGUAAAGCUCUAUCAGCAGGAAAGAAAAUGACGGUACCUGACUAAGAAGCCCCGUCUAACUACGUGCCAGCAGCCGUGGUACUACGUAGGCGGCGAGCGUUAUCCGGAUUUACUGGGUGUAAAGGGAGCGUAGACGGCAGCGCAAGUGGGGAGUGAAAUGUCGGGGCCCAACCCCGGAACUGCACUGGAAACUGUGAAGCUGGAGUGCAGGAGAGGUAAGCGGAAUUCCUGGUGUAGCGGUGAAAUGCGUAGAUAUCAGGAGGAACACCGACGGCGAAGGCGGCUUACUGGACUGUAACUGACGCUGAGGCUCGAAGGCGUGGGGAGCAAACAGGAUUAGAUACCCGUGUAGUC
This 440-nucleotide ribosomal RNA is filed under the name uncultured bacterium. RNAcentral describes it as "partial 16S ribosomal RNA". It matches the Rfam family "Bacterial small subunit ribosomal RNA", at positions 338 to 795 of the family's 1533-position model. The record is from RNAcentral.